RNAcentral lists this ribosomal RNA (301 nucleotides) under uncultured bacterium. Its description in RNAcentral is "partial 16S ribosomal RNA". It matches the Rfam family "Bacterial small subunit ribosomal RNA", at positions 509 to 809 of the family's 1533-position model. The record is from RNAcentral.
CAGCCGCCGCGGUAAUACGGAGGAUCCAAGCGUUAUCCGGAAUCAUUGGGUUUAAAGGGUCCGUAGGCGGUCUUGUAAGUCAGUGGUGAAAGCCCAUCGCUCAACGGUGGAACGGCCAUUGAUACUGCAGGACUUGAAUUAUUGGGAAGUAACUAGAAUAUGUAGUGUAGCGGUGAAAUGCUUAGAGAUUACAUGGAAUACCAAUUGCGAAGGCAGGUUACUACCAAUUGAUUGACGCUGAUGGACGAAAGCGUGGGUAGCGAACAGGAUUAGAUACCCGAGUAGUCCCUGUCUCUUAUAU